AAGCCUGAUGCAGCCAUGCCGCGUGUAUGAAGAAGGCCUUCGGGUUGUAAAGUACUUUCAGCGGGGAGGAAGGUGUUGUGGUUAAUAACCACAGCAAUUGACGUUACCCGCAGAAGAAGCACCGGCUAACUCCGUGCCAGCAGCCGCGGUAAUACGGAGGGUGCAAGCGUUAAUCGGAAUUACUGGGCGUAAAGCGCACGCAGGCGGUCUGUCAAGUCGGAUGUGAAAUCCCCGGGCUCAACCUGGGAACUGCAUUCGAAACUGGCAGGC
RNAcentral lists this ribosomal RNA (270 nucleotides) under Enterobacter cloacae. RNAcentral's name for it is "partial 16S ribosomal RNA". It matches the Rfam family "Bacterial small subunit ribosomal RNA", at positions 379 to 641 of the family's 1533-position model. The record is from RNAcentral. Lineage: Bacteria; Pseudomonadati; Pseudomonadota; Gammaproteobacteria; Enterobacterales; Enterobacteriaceae.